This 447-nucleotide ribosomal RNA is filed under the name Capnocytophaga granulosa. RNAcentral describes it as "bacterial SSU rRNA". It matches the Rfam family "Bacterial small subunit ribosomal RNA", at positions 28 to 479 of the family's 1533-position model. The record is from RNAcentral. Lineage: Bacteria; Pseudomonadati; Bacteroidota; Flavobacteriia; Flavobacteriales; Flavobacteriaceae.
GAUGAACGCUAGCGGCAGGCCUAACACAUGCAAGUCGAGGGAGAAGCCCUUCGGGGCAGAAACCGGCGCACGGGUGCGUAACGCGUAUGCAACCUACCCUUCACAGGGGGAUAGCCCGAAGAAAUUUGGAUUAAUACCCCAUAAUAUUAUUGGGUGGCAUCAUUUGAUAAUUAAAAUUACGAUGGUGAAAGAUGGGCAUGCGUCCUAUUAGCUAGUUGGAGUGGUAACGGCACCCCAAGGCUACGAUAGGUAGGGGUCCUGAGAGGGAGAUCCCCCACACUGGUACUGAGACAGGGACCAGACUCCUACGGGAGGCAGCAGUGAGGAAUAUUGGUCAAUGGUCGGAAGACUGAACCAGCCAUGCCGCGUGCAGGAAGAAUGCCUUAUGGGUUGUAAACUGCUUUUAUAUGGGAAGAAUAAGGAGUACGCGUACUUUGAGACGGUACC